UUCGGGAACUGGAGCACAGGUGCUGCAUGGCUGUCGUCAGCUCGUGUCGUGAGAUGUUGGGUUAAGUCCCGCAACGAGCGCAACCCUCGCCUUUAGUUACCAUCAUUUAGUUGGGGACUCUAAAGGAACCGCCGGUGAUAAGCCGGAGGAAGGUGGGGAUGACGUCAAGUCCUCAUGGCCCUUACGCGCUGGGCUACACACGUGCUACAAUGGCGGUGACAGUGGGCAGCAAUCCUGCAAGGGUGAGCUAAUCUCCAAAAGCCGUCUCAGUUCGGAUUGCACUCUGCAACUCGAGUGCAUGAAGGCGGAAUCGCUAGUAAUCGCGGAUCAGCAUGCCGCGGUGAAUACGUUCCCAGGCCUUGUACACACCGCCCGUCACACCAUGGGAGUUGGGUUCACCCGAAGGCGUUGCGCUAACUCAGCAAUGAGAGGCAGGCGACCA
Molecule: ribosomal RNA, 442 nt
Filed under: uncultured bacterium
Lineage: Bacteria
Description: bacterial SSU rRNA
Rfam family: Bacterial small subunit ribosomal RNA
Source: RNAcentral